RNAcentral lists this non-coding RNA (849 nucleotides) under Pan troglodytes (chimpanzee). Lineage: Eukaryota; Metazoa; Chordata; Mammalia; Primates; Hominidae. The record is from RNAcentral.
GAAACAGACUGCAGGACGUCCUUGGCUGAGGGAGCCCUGCCCAACUCAGAUCACUCUGGUCACCGGCAUGGCAGAGAGGCUCUGGGUGUCGGGAUGUUCACAGGAGGCCCAAGGACUGUUUGAGAUUCCGUUGAUCCUGAAGGCAGUGGACAGCUGCUUUUCACCAGGAGAGUGAAGUGCUCAGACUGGGGGACGGUUCAAGGAAUUUUAAAAAUGUGAACGCUGAGACACUUUGAAGACAGUCAUGACUAUGACCUUUGUGAGGGGUGACCUCUUGUGCUAUCCCUGUUGGAAGUUUGCUUCCUGGAACAUCUGGGAAUAGGAUUAUUGCUGACGCAAGACGAUAAAGAAUGAAGGAGAGGUCGGGCACAGUGGCUCACGCCUGUAAUCCCAGCUCUUUAAGAGGCAGAGGCGGGCAGAUCGCCUGAGGUCAGGAGUUCAAGACAAGCCUGGCCAACAUGGCGAAACCCUAUCUCCACUAAAAAUACAAACAUUAGCUGGGCGUGGUGGUGCAUGCCUUUAGUCCCAGCUACUUGGGAAGCUGAGGCAGGAGAAUCGCUUGAACCUGGGAGGUGGAGGUUGCACAGCCUGGGUGACAGAAGGAGACUCCGUCUCAAAACAAAAGGAAUGAAGCUUAAAGUAUUUUCAGAAAUCUGAGGGGAACAUCACCUGUGCUUUAUUGGUUAUUUUGACAAGUGAAAUAGAGGACAAACUGCUUUGAUUUGAGUUGAUGUCUACACAUGCGAACUCAUGAGAAACAGCAAAGCCCACAAUCUACAUGGACAUCAUCAUCGUUCAGGAACAGGCAUGGUCUCCAUUCUUUCCAUGCACAUGCCCCGGCUUCAAAAA